AAACUUUCAACAACGGAUCUCUUGGUUCUGGCAUCGAUGAAGAACGCAGCAAAAUGCGAUAAGUAAUGUGAAUUGCAGAAUUCAGUGAAUCAUCGAAUCUUUGAACGCACAUUGCGCCCGCCAGUAUUCUGGCGGGCAUGCCUGUUCG
RNAcentral lists this ribosomal RNA (148 nucleotides) under Fusarium oxysporum f. sp. lentis. RNAcentral's name for it is "5.8S ribosomal RNA". It matches the Rfam family "5.8S ribosomal RNA". From Rfam's summary of the family: 5.8S ribosomal RNA (5.8S rRNA) is a component of the large subunit of the eukaryotic ribosome. It is transcribed by RNA polymerase I as part of the 45S precursor that also contains 18S and 28S rRNA. Lineage: Eukaryota; Fungi; Ascomycota; Sordariomycetes; Hypocreales; Nectriaceae. The record is from RNAcentral.